This 103-nucleotide small nuclear RNA is filed under the name Mus musculus (house mouse). The record is from RNAcentral. Lineage: Eukaryota; Metazoa; Chordata; Mammalia; Rodentia; Muridae.
UCCCUUUGGCAGCACAUAUACUAAAAUUGGAAUGAUACAGAGAAGAUUAACAUGGCCCCUGCACAAGGAUAACACACAAAUUCGUGAAGCAUUCCAUAUUUUU